ACACCAAGCUCUGUAGUGCGGUCAACACGCUGGAGGGAAAGGAUGCCAUCCAGAGGGACCUUGACAGGCUUGAGAGGUGGGCCCAUACAAACCUCAUGAAGUCCAACAAGGCCAAGGGCAAGGUCCUGCACAUGGGUCCGGGAAAUCCCAAGCACGAAUACAGGCUGGGUGAGGAGUGGUUUGAGAACAGCCCUGAGGAGAAGGAAUUGGGGGUACUGGUGGAUUAAA
Long non-coding RNA from Haliaeetus leucocephalus (bald eagle), 228 nucleotides. RefSeq lists it as uncharacterized. The record is from RefSeq and is a predicted model, not a curated record. NCBI's taxonomy places the organism in Eukaryota, Metazoa, Chordata, Aves, Accipitriformes, Accipitridae. The transcript has 3 exons.